GUCGCUUUAGCUCACUUGGGAGAGCGCCAGACUGAAGCAAUCCGCUCCGGCGGCAAACUUCGGUUCACUUCGAUCAUCUGGAGGUACUGUGUUCGAUCCACAGAAGCGACA
This 111-nucleotide transfer RNA is filed under the name Kalmusia sp. IMI 367209. RNAcentral describes it as "tRNA-Phe". Lineage: Eukaryota; Fungi; Ascomycota; Dothideomycetes; Pleosporales; Didymosphaeriaceae. The record is from RNAcentral.